CCUACGGUAGGCAGCAGUGAGGAAUAUUGGUCAAUGGGCGCGAGCCUGAACCAGCCAAGUAGCGUGAAGGAUGACUGCCCUACGGGUUGUACACUUCUUUUAUAAAGGAAUAAAGUGAGGAACGUGUGCCUUUUUGUAUGUACUUUAUGCAUAAGGCUCGGCUAACUACGUGCAAGCAGCCGCGGUAAUACGGAGGAUCCGAGAGGUAUCCGGAUUUAUUGGGUUUAAAGGGAGCGUAGAUGGGUUGUUAAGUCAGUUGUGAAAGUUUGCGGCGCAACCGUAAAAUUGCAAUUGAUACUGGCAGUCUUGAGUACAGUUGAGGUAGGCGGAAUGCGUGGUGUAGCGGUGAAAUGCUUAGAUAUCACGAAGAACUCCGAUUGCAAAGGCAGCUUACUAAACUGCCACUGACAUUGAUGCUCGAAAGUGUGGGUAUCAAACAGGAGUAGAUACCCCAGUAGUC
Molecule: ribosomal RNA, 460 nt
Filed under: uncultured bacterium
Lineage: Bacteria
Description: partial 16S ribosomal RNA
Rfam family: Bacterial small subunit ribosomal RNA
Source: RNAcentral